GAGCUGUGUGUGCAGCGGGGUAGAUGGGACAGAGAGAAAGCGAGGUGUUUAAACGCUCGGAAAUCAUCUUCUAAUUUAGGAACCGAGCUGCAAGGUAUCUUUCUCCCUUAAUGGCUUGAGCUGGGAAUCUGGAUUUUGACCCUCUUCUCUUGCCAGGCCCCCAAAACGUCUUCAGGCAUCAACAGAGGGCAAGGGUGAGGCUUCGGGGCGGCAGUGCCAUCCCGGUCUGGAACCCGAGGACUCAGACGCCAGAGCCCCUCCCGGCCUCUGUCGACUCCAGCUUCUGCCGGCUGUCAUCGCCCGUCGUCGCCGCUGUUGCACGGUCGUUAUUAAGCACUUUAACACUUGCACAAGGAGUGUGCGACUCUCCAGUGACGCUCCUCCCCGCAUCGCUGUCGGAGGAGAGCUGCAAUUGUUCUCCCUGUUUUGCACACGAGAAAAUGAAGGGCUGGGAAAAGAAUUGCGAGACAUAAAAAUGUCCCACUGCCAAUGCCAGAAGUUCCAGCUCUGAGCGGAGGUAAUGCCCACUUUGAAUUGCUUCUCUCCGUAGUUCUUCCAUGUUUCUUGAAAUGAUUUAC
This 578-nucleotide long non-coding RNA is filed under the name Equus caballus (horse). RNAcentral describes it as "lncRNA (ENSECAG00000047072.1)". Lineage: Eukaryota; Metazoa; Chordata; Mammalia; Perissodactyla; Equidae. The record is from RNAcentral.